RNAcentral lists this ribosomal RNA (2249 nucleotides) under Escherichia coli. RNAcentral describes it as "partial 23S ribosomal RNA". It matches the Rfam family "Bacterial large subunit ribosomal RNA", at positions 1 to 2266 of the family's 2925-position model. Lineage: Bacteria; Pseudomonadati; Pseudomonadota; Gammaproteobacteria; Enterobacterales; Enterobacteriaceae. The record is from RNAcentral.
GGGUUGUGAGGUUAAGCGACUAAGCGUACACGGUGGAUGCCCUGGCAGUCAGAGGCGAUGAAGGACGUGCUAAUCUGCGAUAAGCGUCGGUAAGGUGAUAUGAACCGUUAUAACCGGCGAUUUCCGAAUGGGGAAACCCAGUGUGAUUCGUCACACUAUCAUUAACUGAAUCCAUAGGUUAAUGAGGCGAACCGGGGGAACUGAAACAUCUAAGUACCCCGAGGAAAAGAAAUCAACCGAGAUUCCCCCAGUAGCGGCGAGCGAACGGGGAGCAGCCCAGAGCCUGAAUCAGUGUGUGUGUUAGUGGAAGCGUCUGGAAAGGCGCGCGAUACAGGGUGACAGCCCCGUACACAAAAAUGCACAUACUGUGAGCUCGAUGAGUAGGGCGGGACACGUGGUAUCCUGUCUGAAUAUGGGGGGACCAUCCUCCAAGGCUAAAUACUCCUGACUGACCGAUAGUGAACCAGUACCGUGAGGGAAAGGCGAAAAGAACCCCGGCGAGGGGAGUGAAAAAGAACCUGAAACCGUGUACGUACAAGCAGUGGGAGCACGCUUAGGCGUGUGACUGCGUACCUUUUGUAUAAUGGGUCAGCGACUUAUAUUCUGUAGCAAGGUUAACCGAAUAGGGGAGCCGAAGGGAAACCGAGUCUUAACUGGGCGUUAAGUUGCAGGGUAUAGACCCGAAACCCGGUGAUCUAGCCAUGGGCAGGUUGAAGGUUGGGUAACACUAACUGGAGGACCGAACCGACUAAUGUUGAAAAAUUAGCGGAUGACUUGUGGCUGGGGGUGAAAGGCCAAUCAAACCGGGAGAUAGCUGGUUCUCCCCGAAAGCUAUUUAGGUAGCGCCUCGUGAAUUCAUCUCCGGGGGUAGAGCACUGUUUCGGCAAGGGGGUCAUCCCGACUUACCAACCCGAUGCAAACUGCGAAUACCGGAGAAUGUUAUCACGGGAGACACACGGCGGGUGCUAACGUCCGUCGUGAAGAGGGAAACAACCCAGACCGCCAGCUAAGGUCCCAAAGUCAUGGUUAAGUGGGAAACGAUGUGGGAAGGCCCAGACAGCCAGGAUGUUGGCUUAGAAGCAGCCAUCAUUUAAAGAAAGCGUAAUAGCUCACUGGUCGAGUCGGCCUGCGCGGAAGAUGUAACGGGGCUAAACCAUGCACCGAAGCUGCGGCAGCGACGCUUAUGCGUUGUUGGGUAGGGGAGCGUUCUGUAAGCCUGUGAAGGUGUGCUGUGAGGCAUGCUGGAGGUAUCAGAAGUGCGAAUGCUGACAUAAGUAACGAUAAAGCGGGUGAAAAGCCCGCUCGCCGGAAGACCAAGGGUUCCUGUCCAACGUUAAUCGGGGCAGGGUGAGUCGACCCCUAAGGCGAGGCCGAAAGGCGUAGUCGAUGGGAAACAGGUUAAUAUUCCUGUACUUGGUGUUACUGCGAAGGGGGGACGGAGAAGGCUAUGUUGGCCGGGCGACGGUUGUCCCGGUUUAAGCGUGUAGGCUGGUUUUCCAGGCAAAUCCGGAAAAUCAAGGCUGAGGCGUGAUGACGAGGCACUACGGUGCUGAAGCAACAAAUGCCCUGCUUCCAGGAAAAGCCUCUAAGCAUCAGGUAACAUCAAAUCGUACCCCAAACCGACACAGGUGGUCAGGUAGAGAAUACCAAGGCGCUUGAGAGAACUCGGGUGAAGGAACUAGGCAAAAUGGUGCCGUAACUUCGGGAGAAGGCACGCUGAUAUGUAGGUGAAGUCCCUCGCGGAUGGAGCUGAAAUCAGUCGAAGAUACCAGCUGGCUGCAACUGUUUAUUAAAAACACAGCACUGUGCAAACACGAAAGUGGACGUAUACGGUGUGACGCCUGCCCGGUGCCGGAAGGUUAAUUGAUGGGGUCAGCGCAAGCGAAGCUCUUGAUCGAAGCCCCGGUAAACGGCGGCCGUAACUAUAACGGUCCUAAGGUAGCGAAAUUCCUUGUCGGGUAAGUUCCGACCUGCACGAAUGGCGUAAUGAUGGCCAGGCUGUCUCCACCCGAGACUCAGUGAAAUUGAACUCGCUGUGAAGAUGCAGUGUACCCGCGGCAAGACGGAAAGACCCCGUGAACCUUUACUAUAGCUUGACACUGAACAUUGAGCCUUGAUGUGUAGUUUUGGUGGGUCGCUUUGUAGUGAAGAAGCCAGUCUGCAUGGAGCCGACCUUGAAAUACCACCCUUUAAUGUUUGAUGUUCUAACGUUGACCCGUGAUCCGGGUUGCGGACAGUGUCUGGUGGGU